UUUAUAGAAGUCAAAUUACAAAAUUGUUAUUUACAAUAGUUACAAUUACAUCACACAUAAAAUUAAAUUUGUAAUUAAAAUUUUGCAAACUUCAAAAGAGAAAAAUAGAAAUUAUUGUGGAAGACAUAGAGUCUUUAGUAAAUGUAAUUUCCUUUAAUUAAUCUUACUACAAAUUAUCUUAAGAUAUUUUACAUUUUGUUAAACCCAACCCCCCUUAUUUAAACAAAUUUAAUAAAAAUAAGUUCAUCCGGAAUAUCUUAUUGGGUCUCAGUCCAUUCCAGAUUCCAGUGAACAGUUUGAAACGACAACUCCGUAGGUCCAGAUGCAUCAGUUGGGGGUUCGGACAAGUCACAUUACACUACUCUCCUUACAUUUUUAAUAGAUAAGGUCAAAAGGUCAGCUCAUCAUCAUUUUUUUUGUAGAAUGUCUUGUUUCCCAAAGCACUAAGACAUUUAGAAGUGGAUGAAUAGAUAUUUUAAAAAUUGGUAAAAUUAAUAAUUUUAUUAUUAUAAUUGGUAGUUUUUAUUUAUUAUAUUAUUGAAUUUUUAAUUUUUUAAAUUAUAUUAUUAAAUUAAUUAAAAAAAUAAUUAGGUCAUUCUGUUAAAUUGAUUAAACGUCAGUUAAACUAUUUCAUGUUUUUUCCUAUGUGGCUGGAAAAAGAAAAGAAAAUGACAUGUUCAUGUUCAUGCUCUAUUUAUCGAUUAUCUUUAUACAUGUUCAGAUGGGAUUUUGAUUUCAAUUUUGAUGAAAUGAUUUGGCCGUUUUUUAGGUAUGUUCUUCCAUUUGUCUAGAUUUGAUAUGUAAUUAUCGUUGUUUGUUGGAUCUGGUAAUGGAUUUUCGGCGCAUAUCUGUUUUCAUCUGUUUGGGCGUCUAUCCGGCUGGUCGCUGCUGCAGUUCGCCGGUGAUUGUUGUUAUUCCAGUAUGGGGCAGAGUGAGGUUGACCUUGGGCUGUGAAAUUAGGGCCCACGCUUUCAAAUUUCAAAUUAGCAGAUGGACUUCAUUUACUAUCUUUCAGGUCCAAAUUUGCUGCAUCACAGGGGUCGAAUUAUGGAGGUGUUAUUAAUAUACUAAUCCACAUAAGAACAGCGAGCUACCAUGGCUGCCGACGGCAAAAUUAUCCCAUAUCCAAAAUAGCAUUAAAAGCUACCACACCCAGAAACAAGGAGGAGAUAGCAGAACAUAGCAAUUAAUCACCUGAAUCCAGCCAAUCAACCCAAACAAUCAGAGAUCAGAUCAAGAAAUGAUUUUCGAUAAUAAACACCGAUUAUUACACCAGAAAGAUAAAAUCUAUUUGAACGAAAAACAAACAGAUCAAAUAAGAACACCCAAACUUAUUAUUGAAGGGGAAAUGCAAUAAAACCGCAAGAAAUCAGCACAUGACUCCCAAAUCUAGUCAUGACAAAGAUAAACAAAUCAAAACAUAAAACCCAGUUUGCACAAGCGCACAGAUCGACAUGAUAAGACCUCAGAUCCAAAGCACCAGAGCAAGAACAGAGCCCAUCAAUUGAACCCAGAAUCCGACGACCAGAACAAGAUCUAACCAACAACGCCAAAGAUCUGAAAAAACCCAAACAAAGAUUUCAAAUUAAGUCACGCUUGAGGAUGACAAAAAAUACCCAAACAGAAAUCAAGCAUAACGAUGGGUAGAAAGGGAGAAUGGGUGGGUCGAAUAUGGAGGAAAUGUUAAUUGGUUUUUAUGGUGUGAUAAAAAGAAGGAAGAGAAAGUAUGAAUAUACUAAUCC
Molecule: long non-coding RNA, 1742 nt
Filed under: Panax ginseng (ginseng)
Lineage: Eukaryota; Viridiplantae; Streptophyta; Magnoliopsida; Apiales; Araliaceae
Description: long non-coding RNA (PGIN_LNC019010)
Source: RNAcentral